GUAGGGAAUAUUGGGCAAUGGAAGCAAUUCUGACCCAGCCAUGCCGCGUGAAGGAAUACGGCCCUAUGGGUCUUAAACUUCUUUUAUCAUAGAGUAAUCGUGGGGACGUGUCCCUGCCUGCAAGUAUAUGAUGAAUAAGUAUCGGCUAACUCCGUGCCAGCAGCCGCGGUAAUACGGAGGAUACAAGCGUUAUCCGGAUUUAUUGGGUUUAAAGGGUGCGCAGGCGGACUAAUAAGUCAGAGGUGAAAUUUUGCAGCUUAACUGUAAACGUGCCUUUGAUACUGUUAGACUAGAGUUUAAGGGACGUAACCGGAAUGUGAUGUGUAGCGGUGAAAUGCAUAGAUAUGUCACAGAACGCCGAUCGUGAAGACAGGUUACGAACUUAAUACUGACGCUCAGGCACGAAAGCGUGGGGAUCAAACAGGAUUAGAAACCCGUGUAGUCC
Molecule: ribosomal RNA, 445 nt
Filed under: uncultured bacterium
Lineage: Bacteria
Description: bacterial SSU rRNA
Rfam family: Bacterial small subunit ribosomal RNA
Source: RNAcentral